Non-coding RNA from Gossypium hirsutum (cotton), 107 nucleotides. The record is from Rfam. NCBI's taxonomy places the organism in Eukaryota, Viridiplantae, Streptophyta, Magnoliopsida, Malvales, Malvaceae.
AACCUAUGGUGAUGACACCUUCUCAAUAAGUCUUUGCAUCUCUCCCAUGCAUCAUAUGAAGUCUUUAAAUUGAUUUGAACAAAGGAAGAGAUAUCAUUCCUCAACUU